GACUUUCUCUUGUUUUUUCCUCUGCAUUGUCUUGUCUAUGGCAACUAGAUUCUCACCUCCUUAGCUGUAAAUCUUCAUCAGAUAAACACAAAUAUCAUUUAAGAUAAAAGAAGUGUCUAUUUAUUGAGCAGAAAGUGAUAGGAUUGAAAAGGAAGUUUCCCGACACUACUGGUCCUAGCAAAGAGCAGCGGCAUGGGGAUCCUCUGGCAGGUGCUAAAUGACACUGACAGAAGUUGAUGAUCACCACAAGCCAUGCAGUUACAGAGGAUUCAACUUUCAUCACAGAUUUUUUCAAAUAUUAGCAAGCACACAACAGUUUACUGAAUAGCCAUACUUGAAAAUAAGCACCUUUAAAAAAGCUGCAAUGGAUAGAAGUACACAGUGUGAUCCCCAUUUUUGAAGACUGUGCAGAUAUGUACUGUAAUCUGAAGAAAUCACCUUUUACUCUGUCUUAAGUUUUCUCUCUUCCCUUGACAACACUGACAGGAAAAAGGAGGAAAGAAAAGAAAAAGAAAAAGAAAAAGAAAAAGAAAAAGAAAAAGAAAAAGAAAAAGAAAAAGAAAAAGAAAAAGAAAAAGAAAAAGAAAAAGNAAGCAAAAGAUAUAGAAAAACAAAAAGGAUAAGGUAAUA
RNAcentral lists this long non-coding RNA (630 nucleotides) under Coturnix japonica (Japanese quail). RNAcentral describes it as "lncRNA (ENSCJPG00005018229.1)". The record is from RNAcentral. Lineage: Eukaryota; Metazoa; Chordata; Aves; Galliformes; Phasianidae.